This is a non-coding RNA of Trichosporon asahii var. asahii CBS 2479, 114 nucleotides long. The record is from the annotation of a RefSeq genome assembly. Lineage: Eukaryota; Fungi; Basidiomycota; Tremellomycetes; Trichosporonales; Trichosporonaceae.
UCUUCGCUAGUAUAUCGGUUAGUAUAAUCGCCUCUCAAACUCGAGAGAUCCUCAGCCUCCUCGGAGGCUGAAAAGGGUGCGCGAUAGAGCAGGGUUCGACUCCCUGGCGGAGAA